UACAGAGGGUGCAAGCGUUGUUCGGAAUUAUUGGGCGUAAAGGGAGUGUAGGCGGUUUUUUAAGUCUUCUGUGAAAUCUACGGGCUUAGCUUGUAACGUGCAGAGGAAACUGGAGAGCUUGAGUGUCGGAGAGGAUAGUGGAAUUCCCGGUGUAGAGGUGAAAGUUCGUAGAGAUCGGGAGGAACACCAGUGGCGAAGGCGACUGUCUGGCUGACAACUGACGCUGAGACUCGAAAGCAUGGGGAGCAAACAGG
RNAcentral lists this ribosomal RNA (254 nucleotides) under uncultured bacterium. RNAcentral describes it as "partial 16S ribosomal RNA". It matches the Rfam family "Bacterial small subunit ribosomal RNA", at positions 524 to 776 of the family's 1533-position model. The record is from RNAcentral.